AGCAACAAAUGCCCUGCUUCCAGGAAAAGCCUCUAAGCAUCAGGUAACAUCAAAUCGUACCCCAAACCGACACAGGUGGUCAGGUAGAGAAUACCAAGGCGCUUGAGAGAACUCGGGUGAAGGAACUAGGCAAAAUGGUGCCGUAACUUCGGGAGAAGGCACGCUGACACGUAGGUGAAGUGAUUUACUCAUGGAGCUGAAGUCAGUCGAAGAUACCAGCUGGCUGCAACUGUUUAUUAAAAACACAGCACUGUGCAAACACGAAAGUGGACGUAUACGGUGUGACGCCUGCCCGGUGCCGGAAGGUUAAUUGAUGGGGUCAGCGCAAGCGAAGCUCCUGAUCGAAGCCCCGGUAAACGGCGGCCGUAACUAUAACGGUCCUAAGGUAGCGAAAUUCCUUGUCGGGUAAGUUCCGACCUGCACGAAUGGCGUAAUGAUGGCCAGGCUGUCUCCACCCGAGACUCAGUGAAAUUGAACUCGCUGUGAAGAUGCAGUGUACCCGCGGCAAGACGGAAAGACCCCGUGAACCUUUACUAUAGCUUGACACUGAACAUUGAGCCUUGAUGUGUAGGAUAGGUGGGAGGCUUUGAAGUGUGGACGCCAGUCUGCAUGGAGCCGACCUUGAAAUACCACCCUUUAAUGUUUGAUGUUCUAACGUGGACCCGUUACCCGGGUUGCGGACAGUGUCUGGUGGGUAGUUUGACUGGGGCGGUCUCCUCCUAAAGAGUAACGGAGGAGCACGAAGGUUGGCUAAUCCUGGUCGGACAUCAGGAGGUUAGUGCAAUGGCAUAAGCCAGCUUGACUGCGAGCGUGACGGCGCGAGCAGGUGCGAAAGCAGGUCAUAGUGAUCCGGUGGUUCUGAAUGGAAGGGCCAUCGCUCAACGGAUAAAAGGUACUCCGGGGAUAACAGGCUGAUACCGCCCAAGAGUUCAUAUCGACGGCGGUGUUUGGCACCUCGAUGUCGGCUCAUCACAUCCUGGGGCUGAAGUAGGUCCCAAGGGUAUGGCUGUUCGCCAUUUAAAGUGGUACGCGAGCUGGGUUUAGAACGUCGUGAGACAGUUCGGUCCCUAUCUGCCGUGGGCGCUGGAGAACUGAGGGGGGCUGCUCCUAGUACGAGAGGACCGGAGUGGACGCAUCACUGGUGUUCGGGUUGUCAUGCCAAUGGCACUGCCCGGUAGCUAAAUGCGGAAGAGAUAAGUGCUGAAAGCAUCUAAGCACGAAACUUGCCCCGAGAUGAGUUCUCCCUGAGACUUAAAGUCUCCUGAAGGAACGUUGAAGACGACGACGUUGAUAGGCCGGGUGUGUAAGCGCAGCGAUGCGUUGAGCUAACCGGUACUAAUGAACCGUGAG
Molecule: ribosomal RNA, 1350 nt
Filed under: Salmonella enterica
Lineage: Bacteria; Pseudomonadati; Pseudomonadota; Gammaproteobacteria; Enterobacterales; Enterobacteriaceae
Description: partial 23S ribosomal RNA
Rfam family: Bacterial large subunit ribosomal RNA
Source: RNAcentral